Molecule: ribosomal RNA, 327 nt
Filed under: uncultured eukaryote
Lineage: Eukaryota
Description: partial 18S ribosomal RNA
Rfam family: Eukaryotic small subunit ribosomal RNA
Source: RNAcentral
CCCUUAGAUGUUCUGGGCCGCACGCGCGCUACACUGACGAAUGCAACGAGCUUAUAACCUUGGCCGAAAGGUCUGGGUAAUCUCCAAAUUUCGUCGUGAUGGGGAUAGAUUAUUGCAAUUAUUAAUCUUCAACGAGGAAUGCCUAGUAAGCGCAAGUCAUCAGCUUGCGUUGAUUACGUCCCUGCCCUUUGUACACACCGCCCGUCGCUCCUACCGAUUGAAUGGUCCGGUGAAGCGUUCGGACCGUGGCUUUCUGACGGUCCGCCGUCGGAUUGCCGUGGGAAGUUCGUUAAACCUUAUCAUUUAGAGGAAGGAGAAGUCGUAACA